GUUUGAUCCUGGCUCAGAUUGAACGCUAGCGGGAUGCCUUACACAUGCAAGUCGAACGGCAGCGGGAAAGUAGCUUGCUACUUUUGCCGGCGAGUGGCGAACGGGUGAGUAAUGUAUCGGAACGUGCCCAGUAGCGGGGGAUAACUACGCGAAAGCGUGGCUAAUACCGCAUACGCCCUACGGGGGAAAGGGGGGGAUCUUAGGACCUCUCACUAUUGGAGCGGCCGAUAUCGGAUUAGCUAGUUGGUGGGGUAAAGGCCUACCAAGGCGACGAUCCGUAGCUGGUUUGAGAGGACGACCAGCCACACUGGGACUGAGACACGGCCCAGACUCCUACGGGAGGCAGCAGUGGGGAAUUUUGGACAAUGGGGGAAACCCUGAUCCAGCCAUCCCGCGUGUGCGAUGAAGGCCUUCGGGUUGUAAAGCACUUUUGUCAGGGAAGAAAAGGUUUCGGAUAAUACCCGGAACUGAUGACGGUACCUGAAGAAUAAGCACCGGCUAACUACGUGCCAGCAGCCGCGGUAAUACGUAGGGUGCAAGCGUUAAUCGGAAUUACUGGGCGUAAAGCGUGCGCAGGCGGUUCGGAGAGAAAGAUGUGAAAUCCCAGGGCUCAACCUUGGAACUGCAUUUUUAACUACCGGACUAGAGUAUGUCAGAGGGGGGUGGAAUUCCACGUGUAGCAGUGAAAUGCGUAGAUAUGUGGAGGAACACCGAUGGCGAAGGCAGCCCCCUGGGAUAAUACUGACGCUCAUGCACGAAAGCGUGGGGAGCAAACAGGAUUAGAUACCCUGGUAGUCCACGCCCUAAACGAUGUCAACUAGCUGUUGGCCCUUCGGGGCUUAGUAGCGCAGCUAACGCGUGAAGUCGACCGCCUGGGAGUACGUCGCAGAUUAAAACUCAAAGAUGACGGGACCCGCACAGCGUGAUGAUGUGAUAUUCGAUGCACGCGAAAACCUACUACCUUGACAUGUCUGAUCUGAAAGAUUAGGAUGCUCGCAAGAAACCGACCAGGUGCCUGCAUGGCUGUCGUCACCUCGGUCGUGGGAAUGUUGGUCAGUCCGCAACAAGCAACCCUUGUCUUAUUUGCUACAUUUAUUUAGACACCUCUAAGAGAA
RNAcentral lists this ribosomal RNA (1115 nucleotides) under uncultured bacterium. Its description in RNAcentral is "bacterial SSU rRNA". It matches the Rfam family "Bacterial small subunit ribosomal RNA", at positions 11 to 1149 of the family's 1533-position model. The record is from RNAcentral.